CCUACGGGAGGCAGCAGUGGGGAAUUUUCCGCAAUGGGCGCAAGCCUGACGGAGCAACGCCGCGUGUGGGAUGAAGGCCUGUGGGUUGUAAACCACUUUUCUCAGGGACGAACACAAUGACGGUACCUGAGGAAUCAGCCUCGGCUAACUCUGUGCCAGCAGCCGCGGUAAGACAGAGGAGGCAAGCGUUAUCCGGAAUUAUUGGGCGUAAAGCGUCCGUAGGUGGUCUAGCAAGUCUGGGGUUAAAGCCCGGAGCCCAACUCCGGAUCGGCCUUGGAAACUGCCAGACUCGAGUAAGGUAGGGGUUGCGGGAAUUCCCGGUGUAGCGGUAAAAUGCGUAGAUAUCGGGAAGAACACCAGCGGCGAAAGCGCGCAACUGGGCCAUUACUGACACUGAGGGACGAAAGCUAGGGGAGCGAAUGGGAUUAGAUACCCCAGUAGUCCUAGCCGUAAACGAUGGUGACUAGAUGUGGCUCGUAUUGACCCGAGCCGUGUCGUAGCUAACGCGAUAAGUCACCCGCCUGGGGAGUACGCACGCAAGUGUGAAACUCAAAGGAAUUGACGGGGGCCCGCACAAGCGGUGGAGCAUGUGGAUUAAUUCGAUGCAACGCGAAGAACCUUACCAGGGCUUGACACCCUGCGAACCCCGCUGAAAGGUGGGGGUGCCUUCGGGAGCGCAGAGACAGGUGGUGCAUGGCUGUCGUCAGCUCGUGUCGUGAGAUGUUGGGUUAAGUCCCGCAACGAGCGCAACCCGCGUCCUUAGUUGCCAGCAUUUAGUUGGGCACUCUGGGGAGACUGCCGGUGACAAGCCGGAGGAAGGUGCGGAUGACGUCAAGUCAGCAUGCCCCUUACCGCCCUGGGCGUCACACGUGCUACAAUGGCCAGCACAAAGGGUAGCCAGC
Molecule: ribosomal RNA, 902 nt
Filed under: uncultured Cyanophyceae cyanobacterium
Lineage: Bacteria; Bacillati; Cyanobacteriota; Cyanophyceae
Description: bacterial SSU rRNA
Rfam family: Bacterial small subunit ribosomal RNA
Source: RNAcentral